Small nuclear RNA from Colobus angolensis palliatus, 106 nucleotides. NCBI's taxonomy places the organism in Eukaryota, Metazoa, Chordata, Mammalia, Primates, Cercopithecidae. The record is from Ensembl.
GUGCUCAUUUCAGAAGCACAUAUACAAAAACUAGAACAAUACAGAGAAGAUUAGAAUGGCUCCUGGCAAAGAUGACAUGCAAAUUUAUGAAGGAUUCCAUAUUUGU